Molecule: long non-coding RNA, 3720 nt
Filed under: Nicotiana benthamiana
Lineage: Eukaryota; Viridiplantae; Streptophyta; Magnoliopsida; Solanales; Solanaceae
Description: long non-coding RNA (NBEN_LNC009405)
Source: RNAcentral
UUGUUCCUAGGUGCACAACUGCGUUCAGAAUAUCCGAAAACUAUCCUAAUAAUGGUAAAAUAUUCCAUUUAUACUAGGCUGGAAAAACUAGACAAAAAUGCCCCUGCGGGAACAGAGCGGACCGCGCAAAAAGAAACCCCGUCUGCGCUGGCUCUUGGACUGAUGAUUUCAGCUUCUUUAUAGUUGAGGACUGCAGACCACGUAAAACGAGCUACGUAAAAUAGACCGCGAAUCACGUGGCUUUGAUUUGUUGUUAUGACAGCUCUCUGAAUCUCCUUCGCGCAGACCGCGUAAAAGGGCAGUUCGGCCGCAGAGUUCUAUAGGCGGACGGCGUGAAUCUGACACUGGCCGCGUAGCUUAAGUCCUGUACAUACCAUCUCUAUGAACUUUCUAGUGUGGUCGUGGUCAUUGUUGUGCGGUCCGCACUAGGCUCUAUUUCCUUCAAUUUUCUUAGUCUUUGAUGCUUGAGCCGGUUUCACUCCGUUUUGAGUUGAUCUUUGAUAUUUGUCACUUUGUCGCUCAAACCUGCAAUCAAGCACAACUUGUAAGCAUUUUGGGACUAUUUUGUAACAAUUUGUAACCAAAGCAAUAGCAAGUAGGGGAAUAAACAUGGUAUAAUCCUAAUUUUUCAGUUGUGCCUACUAACUGAACAAAAAAUUUAAAAAUUAUCAAAGGUGGUUGUUCUUACAAAAUAGCCUUCCGACGCCCCUUUGGGGAAAUUCGGCUUAUUUUAAACAAGAAUGGCACCACCCUACUUAUUUGCGAUAAAAAAUAAAAUUUUUGGUCUGUUUAGGCUAUUUUUGCAAAAAGGGAAGUUGGACCCAAUGGCAGUUACCUACAUAUCCCACAUCUGGUGGGAAUCAAAGAUCUUCUUUUUUCACUUUUGUUUUUAAAAAUCCGGCAAAGUUUCAGUACCUCUUGGACAUUGGUUUUCAAAAUCGGGUAAUUAUCUUAGAUCUGACACUGCUAUUUUCUUUUCCCAAUUUUAUAUUAUUUAUAAGCCGGUCAACAUGCAAAUCCGGAGCAAAUAAGUGCACAAGUAGCAAGAAGGAUGCAUCAGGAUGGUCUUUUCAUUUUAGGUACACUUGCCCGAGACAGACCUAACCCCUGUCUUGAGUAUCCUAAGUCAAAUGCACGUGAUACAAAGUUCCUACUAGGGAUCUGGUAUGAGAUUUUGUUACACUAGAUUAAAACUUGGGUUUAUUGUUCUAGACCUGGCUUACCCGAGCGCACAGCUCGAGCCAGAGGGGGGAGGGGUGGCGUACCGAAAAUACAGAAGCUUCACCGGCUUUGCAGCUUGUCUUAACCUCGUUCUAAAUUUUGGGAUAAGACUCUAACAAAAAAUAAGUUACAUAAAGUGCACACUUCCUAGAUGAUUUAGAAGACUCAGAAAUAAGAAGAGUUUCAUAGCAGUUUAUAUACAGUUCAUAAAUAUCAAAGCAUUAAAAGAAUUUAGCACAUUAUGCUCAAAUAUGUAGAAAAAUCAUAUAAUAGAUAAAUCCAAUCAUAACAUCUAUUCUAAGCUCGAAUUCUUCAACCCUGAACCGAAAUUCUGGGUUUGGAUCCCCAGCAGAGUCGCCAGAGCUGUCAUACCUCCUUUUUUUCACUACACCACUCUUGAAGGGUAGUGUAUAAGGGAGUUUUUCGAUUUAAGUGACAUUAUCCGAAAUAAAAUUAUUUAUUUAUUUUGGUUCAGAGUCGCCACUUGGGAUAGGUCUGUUUUCUGGUGUCCCAAGUCACCGGUUAAUUUUAAAUCCCAAAUCGAGGAAGAUUUGACUUUCUUAAUGAAGUCUGAAAACUAGAAAUUCUAAAUAAAGAAUUAUGUUAACCCGAGAUAAGGUAUUAGGCACCCCUAGAUUCUGUGGUUCUAGCACAGUCGUUUAAACUGUUAUAAUUGGCCUAUUAUAUUAUUUUAAUAUAUGUUUUAGCUUAUAGUAAUUUUUUACUUAUUAGCCGUUUUUGAUUAAUUCAAAGAAGAUUUCAACAUCAUAUAAAAUACGUCUUUGGACCACGCCACAUAAAAUGCACUUGCAGUCUAAGACAAAUUUCAUUUAAUGAUGUGAGAUUUGGAUUUGGGUCACAAGAAAUAUGCACCCGAGUUUAGAAAAGUAAAUUAUUAAAAUAACGCGCCUAAAGCAACUGCACGUUUUUAAAUUUGCGAGGGCCACAGAAAAUUUUCUAAAUGGUGUGCCUCGAUUUCUAGUAUUAAAAACAUCAAUUAGAUGAGGGCCAUGCAUCUUGAGAUUUUAUUUGAUACGGCGCGCCUCAGUUACUUGAAGUAACUUAAAUAACCAAAUAUUAAUGGAACAGGGAUUCCACUACUAACCAAACUAACUCAAAAAAAUUGCCUUUUAACAGAAAGGGCUAAUCAUUUAAAGAUGUUGUUUGGGCCUAGCGUGAGGCCCAGUGGUCUACAAAUACGGAAAGCCACCCGAAAAUGUCAAUUGCAUGAUAAAAUUACGUUGGGCCCAAAACGGAGCCCAAAUUGGAAAACGGCCCAGCUCUAGUAGACUUGAGACUCGAGAUCGAGUCUUCACUGGCACACGACAUGAGACACUCGAAUCCAAAAUUGCAAGUCAUACUGUUGCACAAAAAUUAAAGCAAUAUUGUUCAUAUUUUACGCAAGAACCAUGGCAUAUCCUAUACUAAUUAAUCCCUUAUUCAGAAUAUGCAACAAUUCCCCCUUUGGUUACCUAGCAUGCAUUUCCAUCAUCCCUUUUAAACAACAUGCAUAACCCCAAGAGUAACGGGAAAUUUUAUUCCAAGGCCUAAGAUUAGAAAACUAAUCAAACAGUGGACGGAUUCCAAUUGGGAUAACAUAUGAUUUGAAACAAUAUGCAUGCCAAUACCCUUAAGAGUCUCUUUCAUUCACAAUAAAACUUACACCGAUGAGGACUAAGCAACUAAACCACAAGUUGUUCAAUAUUACAAACUAAGAUUAAACUAAAUCAAAGAGGAAGAGACAUGUCCAAUGCUAACCAGUCUAAACCAAAUAGUACAUGAUGUGCAUGAAAUUAAGAAGGAGAAAUAAGGCUUAAAAUAACAUACAACAUCAUUGUUAUCACAUUUUUCUUCAGACUUAAGCUUCAAAUUACAUUCAAGUGAUAUCCAUAGUGCUUGAAAAAUACAUGGAAAUGAAAAGAGAAACAAGAGAAGUGCAGAAAUCAGUAGGUAGCAAGCAAUAGGAUAGCAAUAAACCAGUGCUCGAGAUCAGCCAAAACCCAGAAAUUUGAACUGAAAUGGGACUCUAUACAAAAUCAACUCAAAUCCAACUUAUCCCAAAGUUGUACCAUCUUCAAACCAAAUGCUAAAUCAGAUGUUUUCAAAGAUUGUAACUAAUAAAGAGGGUCAUAAUUUUCCUCGAAGCUUUAGAUUCUGACUAAUAGCCAAGACUAAAGAGCAAAACAAGACCAAUUUUGGCCAAAAGAUUGCAGGAUUUUUUUUGUAUUUUUCAGAGUAUCAAUCCCUGAUUAUUAAAUGGAAGAAGGGUCUAUAUAUAGCCCUCUUUGGGUGCCAUGUGCUGCAGAAACAGAAUGUGAAUUAUUACCUCAUGAAGCAUCUAUUUUUCAACGGAAUUGGGACAACUGGCAGCCUGUAAUUGGCUCCAGCAACUUGUGCUAACCAAAUAAGGCCAGCUGCCCCUAUUCUAGAAGUUUCCCCAACAAAAUCUUAUUUUCUUACUCUCAAAAUAACCUUCCAAGUUUCUAUUAUUCAACUAAU